GAUGAACGCUGGCGGCGUGCCUAAUACAUGCAAGUCGAGCGAACAGAUGAGGAGCUUGCUCCUCUGACGUUAGCGGCGGACGGGUGAGUAACACGUGGAUAACCUACCUAUAAGACUGGGAUAACUUCGGGAAACCGGAGCUAAUACCGGAUAAUAUAUUGAACCGCAUGGUUCAAUAGUGAAAGACGGUUUUGCUGUCACUUAUAGAUGGAUCCGCGCCGCAUUAGCUAGUUGGUAAGGUAACGGCUUACCAAGGUAACGAUGCGUAGCCGACCUGUGAGGGGGAUAGGACACACUGGAACUGGGACACGGUCAAGACUCCUAAGGGAGGCAGCAGUAGGGAAUCUUCCGCAAUGGGCGAAAGCCUGACGGAGCAACGCCGCGUGAGUGAUGAAGGUCUUCGGAUCGUAAAACUCUGUUAUUAGGGAAGAACAAAUGUGUAAGUAACUAUGCACGUCUUGACGGUACCUAAUCAGAAAGCCACGGCUAACUACGUG
This 497-nucleotide ribosomal RNA is filed under the name uncultured bacterium. Its description in RNAcentral is "partial 16S ribosomal RNA". It matches the Rfam family "Bacterial small subunit ribosomal RNA", at positions 28 to 507 of the family's 1533-position model. The record is from RNAcentral.